Molecule: ribosomal RNA, 1326 nt
Filed under: Caeparia donskoffi
Lineage: Eukaryota; Metazoa; Arthropoda; Insecta; Blattodea; Blaberidae
Description: 16S ribosomal RNA
Rfam family: Archaeal large subunit ribosomal RNA (bases 1077-1237)
Source: RNAcentral
UCUAUAUAAAGCUUACUAUUUGUUUAUAUAUAGUAUAAUUAUAAAAAAAAUAUUUUUUUUUGUUAUUGUAUUUUUUAGUGAUGUAAUUGUUUUUAGUAAUAUAUAAAUUUUACUGUGAAGGUUAGAUGAAAUAUUUAAAAUUAUUAUAAAUAAAGUUGAUUUUAUUUAUUGUACCUUGUGUAUCAGGAUUAAUUAAUUAUUUUUUAUAUAUUUUAUUAAUCUCGAUUUUAUUAGGGUUAAUUUAUUGUUUUAGUUAUUGUUAUAUAAAUAUUAAUAACAAUAAAUUAGUAAUGAAAUGUUAUUCGUUAAUAAGGAUAUCUAGUUUUUUGGGAAAUAAAUUAAAUUUAUAUUUUGUCUUUAAUAUUUUUAUUUAAAAAUUUAAUUUUAGAUUGAAAUAAAUGAAUUGGGGGAUAAGCUCUAUUUCAAAAUUUUAUGGAAGAUAAUGAUUGAAGAUUAUGUGGAUUUUAUAAUAAUUAUCACUGUAAGUAUAUUAAAAUUUUAUUUGUUUUUUAGUUAAUUUUUUUUUUCUUAAAUCUAUACCAAAGAUUUUUAAUUAACUUUUAUUAAUUUUAAUUAUGAUUAAAUUAGUAUAAUUAUAUUUAUUUAAUGAUUUUUUGUUUAAAAUAGAUUUGAGGAAUUAGGCAAAAAAAAAUAAAUAAAAGAGUUAUUCGCCUGUUUAACAAAAACAUCUUCUCUUGAUAAAAUAAGAGGUAUAACCUGCUCAAUGAUUUUAUUUAAUAGCCGCGGUAUAUUGACCGUGCAAAGGUAGCAUAAUCAUUAGUCUUUUAAUUGUAGGCUGGAAUGAAUGGUUGGACGAGAUAACAUCUUUCUUAAAUUUAUUAAUUAAAAUUUAAUUAUUGUGUUAAAAAGCUCAAAUUUUUUUUUGGGACAAGAAGACCCUAUAGAGUUUAAUAUUUAAUAUAAUUUUUUUUUAAUUUUUGAUAAUUAUAAAGAGUUGAUUAAAAUUAUUUAAUUGGGGUGAUGAAAAGAUAUAAAAAACUCUUUUUUAUUAUUUAUAUAUUGAUUAAUAAGUUUUUGAUCCAUUAUUAAUGAUUAUAAGAUUAAAUUACCUUAGGGAUAACAGCGUAAUCUUUUUUGAGAGUUCUUAUCAACAAAUAAGGGUUGCGACCUCGAUGUUGGAUUAAGAUAAAUUAUUGGGUGUAGAGGCUUAAAUUUUAGGUCUGUUCGACCUUUGAAUUCUUACAUGAUCUGAGUUCAAACCGGCGUGAGCCAGGUUGGUUUCUAUCUAUUAAUAGUUUUAAUGUUUUAGUACGAAAGGACCAAAUAUUAAAAAUAAUUUUUGUUUAUUGAGUAAAAUUAAUUAAA